Molecule: long non-coding RNA, 160 nt
Organism: Centruroides sculpturatus (bark scorpion)
Lineage: Eukaryota; Metazoa; Arthropoda; Arachnida; Scorpiones; Buthidae
Exons: 2
Source: RefSeq, a predicted model, not a curated record
GUUAUUUUCUUUUAUAGAAACCUUUGCCUCCAAACUCACCUAACAUUCUAGAAGUUUACGAUGGGUUCAAAAAUUCGUUUCAAGCAGUGAAACGUCCACUUCCGAGUUUGCCGAGUAAUGCACUGAUGGGUAGGCCGGCAAAGCGAGCAAAGAAAGAUAG